Molecule: ribosomal RNA, 450 nt
Filed under: uncultured bacterium
Lineage: Bacteria
Description: partial 16S ribosomal RNA
Rfam family: Bacterial small subunit ribosomal RNA
Source: RNAcentral
GUGGGGAAUCUUCCGCAAUGGACGAAAGUCUGACGGAGCAACGCCGCGUGAGUGAAGAAGGUUUUCAGAUCGUAAAGCUCUUUCGUUAGGGACGAACGUGCUCUUUGUGAAUAAUGAGGAGUAAUGACGGUACCUAAAUAAGAAGCCACGGCUAACUACGUGCCAGCAGCCGCGGUAAUACGUAGGUGGCAAGCGUUGUCCGGAAUUAUUGGGCGUAAAGCGCGCGCAGGCGGGAUAUCAAGUCUGUCUUAAAAGUGCGAGGCUCAACCUCGUGAGGGGACAGAAACUGGUAUUCUUGAGUGUCGGAGAGGAAAGUGGAAUUCCAAGUGUAGCGGUGAAAUGCGUAGAGAUUUGGAAGAACACCAGUGGCGAAGGCGACUUUCUGGACUGUAACUGACACUGAGGCACGAAAGCGUGGGGAGCAAACAGGAUUAGAUACCCCGGUAGUCC